AAGAGACAGCAGCCGCCGCGGUAAUACAGAGGGUGCGAGCGUUAAUCGGAUUUACUGGGCGUAAAGCGUGCGUAGGCGGCUUCUUAAGUCGGAUGUGAAAUCCCUGAGCUUAACUUAGGAAUUGCAUUCGAUACUGGGAAGCUAGAGUAUGGGAGAGGAUGGUAGAAUUCCAGGUGUAGCGGUGAAAUGCGUAGAGAUCUGGAGGAAUACCGAUGGCGAAGGCAGCCAUCUGGCCUAAUACUGACGCUGAGGUACGAAAGCAUGGGGAGCAAACAGGAUUAGAUACCCGAGUAGUCCCUGUCUCUUAUAA
RNAcentral lists this ribosomal RNA (310 nucleotides) under uncultured bacterium. RNAcentral's name for it is "partial 16S ribosomal RNA". It matches the Rfam family "Bacterial small subunit ribosomal RNA", at positions 503 to 809 of the family's 1533-position model. The record is from RNAcentral.